CCAGACAGCCAGGAUGUUGGCUUAGAAGCAGCCAUCAUUUAAAGAAAGCGUAAUAGCUCACUGGUCGAGUCGGCCUGCGCGGAAGAUGUAACGGGGCUAAACCAUGCACCGAAGCUGCGGCAGCGACACUGUGUGUUGUUGGGUAGGGGAGCGUUCUGUAAGCCUGUGAAGGUGUACUGUGAGGUAUGCUGGAGGUAUCAGAAGUGCGAAUGCUGACAUAAGUAACGAUAAAGCGGGUGAAAAGCCCGCUCGCCGGAAGACCAAGGGUUCCUGUCCAACGUUAAUCGGGGCAGGGUGAGUCGACCCCUAAGGCGAGGCCGAAAGGCGUAGUCGAUGGGAAACAGGUUAAUAUUCCUGUACUUGGUGUUACUGCGAAGGGGGGACGGAGAAGGCUAUGUUGGCCGGGCGACGGUUGUCCCGGUUUAAGCGUGUAGGCUGGUUUUCCAGGCAAAUCCGGAAAAUCAAGGCUGAGGCGUGAUGACGAGGCACUACGGUGCUGAAGCAACAAAUGCCCUGCUUCCAGGAAAAGCCUCUAAGCAUCAGGUAACAUCAAAUCGUACCCCAAACCGACACAGGUGGUCAGGUAGAGAAUACCAAGGCGCUUGAGAGAACUCGGGUGAAGGAACUAGGCAAAAUGGUGCCGUAACUUCGGGAGAAGGCACGCUGAUA
RNAcentral lists this ribosomal RNA (669 nucleotides) under Escherichia coli. RNAcentral describes it as "partial 23S ribosomal RNA". It matches the Rfam family "Bacterial large subunit ribosomal RNA", at positions 1085 to 1756 of the family's 2925-position model. Lineage: Bacteria; Pseudomonadati; Pseudomonadota; Gammaproteobacteria; Enterobacterales; Enterobacteriaceae. The record is from RNAcentral.